This 784-nucleotide ribosomal RNA is filed under the name uncultured Moraxella sp. RNAcentral describes it as "bacterial SSU rRNA". It matches the Rfam family "Bacterial small subunit ribosomal RNA", at positions 557 to 1339 of the family's 1533-position model. Lineage: Bacteria; Pseudomonadati; Pseudomonadota; Gammaproteobacteria; Moraxellales; Moraxellaceae. The record is from RNAcentral.
GGCGUAAAGCGAGUGUAGGUGGCUCAUUAAGUCACAUGUGAAAUCCCCGGGCUUAACCUGGGAACUGCAUGUGAUACUGGUGGUGCUAGAAUAUGUGAGAGGGAAGUAGAAUUCCAGGUGUAGCGGUGAAAUGCGUAGAGAUCUGGAGGAAUACCGAUGGCGAAGGCAGCUUCCUGGCAUAAUAUUGACACUGAGAUUCGAAAGCGUGGGUAGCAAACAGGAUUAGAUACCCUGGUAGUCCACGCCGUAAACGAUGUCUACUAGCCGUUGGGGUCCUUGAGACUUUAGUGGCGCAGUUAACGCGAUAAGUAGACCGCCUGGGGAGUACGGCCGCAAGGUUAAAACUCAAAUGAAUUGACGGGGGCCCGCACAAGCGGUGGAGCAUGUGGUUUAAUUCGAUGCAACGCGAAGAACCCUACCUGGUCUUGACAUAGCGAGAAUCUCUCAGAGAUGAGAGAGUGCCUUCGGGAACUCACAUACAGGUGCUGCAUGGCUGUCGUCAGCUCGUGUCGUGAGAUGUUGGGUUAAGUCCCGCAACGAGCGCAACCCUUUUCCUUAUUUGCCAGCGGGUUAAGCCGGGAACUUUAAGGAUACUGCCAGUGACAAACUGGAGGAAGGCGGGGACGACGUCAAGUCAUCAUGGCCCUUACGACCAGGGCUACACACGUGCUACAAUGGUAGGUACAGAGGGUUGCUACACAGCGAUGUGAUGCUAAUCUCAAAAAGCCUAUCGUAGUCCGGAUUGGAGUCUGCAACUCGACUCCAUGAAGUCGGAAUCGCUAGU